CCUACGGGUGGCUGCAGUGGGGAAUAUUGGACAAUGGGGGGAACCCUGAUCCAGCCAUGCCGCGUGUGUGAAGAAGGCCCUCGGGUUGUAAAGCACUUUCAGUGAGGAAGAACGCCUGGUGGUUAAUACCCAUCAGGAAAGACAUCACUCACAGAAGAAGCACCGGCUAACUCCGUGCCAGCAGCCGCGGUAAUACGGAGGGUGCGAGCGUUAAUCGGAAUUACUGGGCGUAAAGCGCGCGUAGGUGGCUUGAUAAGCCGGUUAUGAAAGCCCCGGGCUCAACCUGGGAACAGCAUCCGGAACUGUCAAGCUAGAGUGCAGGAGAGGAAGGUAGAAUUCCCGGUGUAGCGGUGAAAUGCGUAGAGAUCGGGAGGAAUACCAGUGGCGAAGGCGGCCUUCUGGACUGACACUGACACUGAGGUGCGAAAGCGUGGGUAGCAAACAGGAUUAGAUACCCCAGUAGUC
Molecule: ribosomal RNA, 465 nt
Filed under: Vreelandella stevensii
Lineage: Bacteria; Pseudomonadati; Pseudomonadota; Gammaproteobacteria; Oceanospirillales; Halomonadaceae
Description: partial 16S ribosomal RNA
Rfam family: Bacterial small subunit ribosomal RNA
Source: RNAcentral